This is a long non-coding RNA of Pan troglodytes (chimpanzee), 239 nucleotides long. RefSeq lists it as uncharacterized. The record is from RefSeq and is a predicted model, not a curated record. The transcript is spliced from 3 exons. NCBI's taxonomy places the organism in Eukaryota, Metazoa, Chordata, Mammalia, Primates, Hominidae.
AUCGGAGAUGCCCACCCUGGUCUUCCCCUUCGGCCCAGACUCAGCCCCACACCACCCCUCCCUGCACUGAGGAACAGACUGAGGCCAGAUCCUCUCCGCUGGGCAGUGACACCCUUGCCGGCGUCCUCACCCCCGCCCCACCCCGAUGACUCAGGCUAUGUGAGUCAAGGAUGGAACGAUGUUCCCAGAACAUCCCAGGAGGGUGUGACAGCCUCCAUCUAGAAGGUUCUAUCCUCAGG